GAGGCAAUGAAGUACUACUCAGCUCCAAGCUACUACACUACCAUUUACGCCGCUCCCAGUUACCACACUACCACUUACGCCGCUCCCAGUUACUACACUACCACUUACGCCGCUCCCAGUUACUACACAGAGGCUCCAGCUUAGUACAAAAACAACGUGCGCUACUCCCCGCUAUUACCCUGAGCCAUUGAAGUGCCGAGAGAAAGGCCAAUACCAGCUGUCGUUCAGGCCAGACAAAUACAUCCAGACGGUCGAGCAAGGCAUGGUGAUUAUGGGCGUGACGGAACAAGAAGCCGGCCGAUAUGACUGCCGGUUAGGAGCGGACACGCUGUGCAGUUAUAAUAUCACGGUCGAUACGCAGCGAUGCGCUGCCCCCAGCAAAUCACACGAUUAUCAGAAGGUUUACUCCGACUGGUGUCACGAAUUUGAGAAAUACAAAAUGGCCAUGAAGACGUGGGAGAGAAGGCAGCUGCAAUGUAACAGUCGGCAAACGAACGAUACAGCCAGCAGCAAUCAGAAUGCUCAUCCCAACGAGAUCUAUCCACGGAGUCCUUUGGUCUGAACAAGUUCCAAUAAAA
This is a long non-coding RNA of Daphnia carinata, 578 nucleotides long. RefSeq lists it as uncharacterized. Lineage: Eukaryota; Metazoa; Arthropoda; Branchiopoda; Diplostraca; Daphniidae. The transcript is spliced from 3 exons. The record is from RefSeq and is a predicted model, not a curated record.